CCUCGCCUUACGAAUCUCCUCGCAGUAUAAAAGACACGCGUCCUCCACAAGGGCCACACAGUUGCGAUCGCUCUGCUUCCAACUAACUGCUACACUAUGAAGACGUCCCUGGUGAUCUUUGCCGCUGCGCUGCUGGUGGUGUUGGCUGUGUACCCUUCACGUGCGGAGGCGGCGGCUGCAGCAGCACCAGUGGCGGGGCACCACGGAGGCCGGUACGGACCGCCACCGCACUACGGAGGACCACCACACCACGGACACCAUGGCGGCUACCACGGCAGGCCGCCACACUAUGGAGGGCACUAUCCCCACCACGGCUGAGUGCCAGGCGUGUUGCUGCUGCAGCAGUCGGAAUUACCUGCCUGAUAUAUUCAGAUUAUCACAUUAGCAAAUGCGGUGCCUGUACUCUGUACCUUCUUGACAAUAAAUUAUUGUAUUUUUAAA
This 441-nucleotide long non-coding RNA is filed under the name Schistocerca americana (American grasshopper). Its description in RNAcentral is "uncharacterized LOC124614048". The record is from RNAcentral. Lineage: Eukaryota; Metazoa; Arthropoda; Insecta; Orthoptera; Acrididae.